Molecule: RNA transcript, 1177 nt
Organism: Pelodiscus sinensis (Chinese soft-shelled turtle)
Lineage: Eukaryota; Metazoa; Chordata; Testudines; Trionychidae
Source: RefSeq, a predicted model, not a curated record
AACUGUUCUCCUUUCCCACCUCGGGAUCAUUUCUCGCUGUAUCCAAAGCAAUCAGUUGGAUUCGAUUGGAUUGAGACAAUGUCGGCGGUGGUUCUCCAUUUGAACCUCUGGUCUCCCCUAACACCGGGCAGCAGCAAAGGCACAGAGAUCGUUUCUGUUCCCAGUCCCUCCUCCUGGACAGCCAUACCCGGUGGAGUCCCUGCUCCCUGCCACCUAUGCAGAGGCAAUGGGGAGGCUCUCAGGAUGUGGCAUGGGGAGACGUACUGUCACCUGGGCCAGUACAGGUGCUUUGCAGACCUGCCAUUGCAUAAUUGCCAUGGAGGUGCACUGAAAGCCUGCCCACCACCAGGCAGCAAGAGGGCUCAUUUUUAUGUGGAGCCCGAUAUUGAACCUGAGGACAGCCCAGCUCCCAAGAAGAGGAAGCUCAUGGAGUUAGGGGCAUGGCUCCCUGGUGGCCUUCCCAGACCACAGAGAACUCCCAUGAGGCGAAGGUGGAGGUGAAAAACACCAAUGUCUCUUCCUUGGCUUAGAACAACAGGCUCCGUGUGGCCAUUCCUUACCUCGGUCCCUUCACACCAGCUGCUUUUCCUUGUCCCUCCAGCCUAGAGCCACCUUCCCCACUCCUACCUGCUAGCACUUUCCCACUACUACCUGUAUGUGUCUCCUUCCGUGACCUCUGUCCGAACACCAGCCCUCAGCAUCCCUUACACUAUCCAUAACCCGUCACAGAGCCUCCUCUUCUUGCGGAGCUUUCACACAGGCCCUCUCAGGUUCCACUGUACCUCCAUGUGCUGGAACAACAGGCCCUCUUUGAGUCUCCCUGCCACACCCACAUCUGCUUCACUGCUGCCAGCCACACACAGCACGGACCGGCUUUUCAUCCCUGGACACCAUAACUCUCAGGGCUUCCUAUGGAAUGACUGUAGGGAGAACUUCGGUGCUGCUUCUUCAGUGUGGAUAACAACGUGCCUAGAUAUAAUCAAGGCUUCAUGACCGUCUUAAAACUGUAAACUGUAAUCGCAGACAAAAGGAAUCACAGACAGGCUGAGCUGCUUCCUUUGCUCUUCAGACUGAAGAGCAACUUUAUAUGAGGACGUUCAUAGACUCAUCAUUUUCUGUAUUCAAAUGAAACUUCACUCCAUACUAGUUCAAUAAUGCAAAGAUUAAAGCAUGUGGU